Molecule: unclassified non-coding RNA, 390 nt
Filed under: soil metagenome
Description: partial contains 5.8S ribosomal RNA, internal transcribed spacer 2, and large subunit ribosomal RNA
Rfam family: 5.8S ribosomal RNA (bases 1-122)
Source: RNAcentral
GAUGAAGAACGCAGCGAAAUGCGAUACUUGGUGUGAAUUGCAGAAUCCCGUGAACCAUCGAGUCUUUGAACGCAAGUUGCGCCCGAAGCCACUAGGCCGAGGGCACGCCUGCCUGGGCGUCACACGCCGUUGCCCCCCCAUCUACUCCUUCGGGAUUGCGGGGGGGCGGAUGAUGGCCUCCCGUGCGCCUAGCCGCGCGGUUGGCAUAAAUACCAAGUCCUCGGCGACGCACGCCACGACAAUCGGUGGUUGCGAAACCUCGGUUGCCCGUCGUGUGCGUUCGUCGCGCAUCGAGGGCUCGAAAAAAUGCUCGGCUCCGGCUGGGCUUUCAACGCGACCCCAGGUCAGGCGGGGUUACCCGCUGAAUUUAAGCAUAUCAAUAAGCGAGGA